RNAcentral lists this long non-coding RNA (363 nucleotides) under Coffea arabica (coffee). RNAcentral describes it as "long non-coding RNA (CARA_LNC003033)". The record is from RNAcentral. Lineage: Eukaryota; Viridiplantae; Streptophyta; Magnoliopsida; Gentianales; Rubiaceae.
GCAAAUGAAUUAAUUGACUUAAAAUUGUGAGAUCAACCUUUUAUGUUGAAAUAAUCAAUUUAUGCGCAAAUGGUACAAAGUAAACUGGAAAGACAAAUGAAAUUGACCUUGAAUUUUUUAAUUUUUUUGUUUUCAAAUGAGAGAUUUAACACAUUAUAUUAAUGAAGGUAAAUGCUUGAAUUUAUUCUCGUAUAUGUAGUGUACGUAAGCAUGUCCUUUGCUCUCUUAUGUGUGUCUCUUGGUAUGAUUGAUUCUGUUUGAUCCUAGGAGGCACUUUUUGUGUUUCUCUGCUAUGCUUUGACUGUUUGUUGUUUUUCCCUAUAUUUUAGGUGAUAAGCGACAUUGAAGCCUCAUCAAUUUCAU